Molecule: ribosomal RNA, 404 nt
Filed under: uncultured bacterium
Lineage: Bacteria
Description: bacterial SSU rRNA
Rfam family: Bacterial small subunit ribosomal RNA
Source: RNAcentral
UGGGGAAUAUUGGACAAUGGGCGAAAGCCUGAUCCAGCCAUGCCGCAUGAGUGAAGAAGGCCUUUGGGUUGUAAAGCUCUUUUAGUGAGGAAGAUAAUGACGGUACUCACAGAAGAAGUCCUGGCUAACUCCGUGCCAGCAGCCGCGGUAAUACGGAGAGGGCUAGCGUUAUUCGGAAUUAUUGGGCGUAAAGGGCGCGUAGGCGGAUUAGUAAGUUAAAAGUGAAAUCCCAAGGCUCAACCUUGGAAUUGCUUUUAAAACUGCUAAUCUAGAGAUUGAAAGAGGAUAGAGGAAUUCCUAGUGUAGAGGUGAAAUUCGUAAAUAUUAGGAGGAACACCAGUGGCGAAGGCGUCUAUCUGGUUCAAAUCUGACGCUGAGGCGCGAAGGCGUGGGGAGCAAACAGG